Molecule: ribosomal RNA, 253 nt
Filed under: uncultured bacterium
Lineage: Bacteria
Description: partial 16S ribosomal RNA
Rfam family: Bacterial small subunit ribosomal RNA
Source: RNAcentral
UACGUAGGGGCCAAGCGUUGUCCGGAUUUAUUGGGCGUAAAGAGCUCGUAGGCGGUUCGGCAAGUCGAAUGUGAAAUCUCCACGCUCAACGUGGAGGGGUCAUUCGAUACUGGAUGGCUUGAGUUCGGGAGAGGGAUGCGGAAUUCCAGGUGUAGCGGUGAAAUGCGUAGAUAUCUGGAGGAACACCGGUGGCGAAGGCGGCAUCCUGGACCGAUACUGACGCUGAGGAGCGAAAGCCAGGGGAGCAAACGGG